Molecule: transfer RNA, 85 nt
Filed under: Alphaproteobacteria bacterium
Lineage: Bacteria; Pseudomonadati; Pseudomonadota; Alphaproteobacteria
Description: tRNA-Leu
Rfam family: tRNA
About the family: Transfer RNA (tRNA) molecules are approximately 80 nucleotides in length. Their secondary structure includes four short double-helical elements and three loops (D, anti-codon, and T loops).
Source: RNAcentral
GGGGUUGUGGCGGAACUGGUAGACGCGCCAGACUCAAAAUCUGGUUCCCUCGGGAGUGAGAGUUCGAUUCUCUCCGGCCCUACCA